Molecule: ribosomal RNA, 579 nt
Filed under: uncultured bacterium
Lineage: Bacteria
Description: bacterial SSU rRNA
Rfam family: Bacterial small subunit ribosomal RNA
Source: RNAcentral
ACGGGUGAGUAACACGUGGAUAAUCUUCCUCAAGGUGGGGAAUAACCGGUCGAAAGACCGGCUAAUACCGCAUAAGACCACACGGGCUUCGGCUCGAGAGGUUAAAGGAGCAAUUCGCCUUGAGAUGAGUUUGCGUCUGAUUAGCUAGUUGGUGAGGUAAUGGCUCACCAAGGCGACGAUCAGUAGCUGGUCUGAGAGGACGGCCAGCCACACUGGGACUGAGACACGGCCCAGACUCCUACGGGAGGCAGCAGUAGGGAAUAUUGCACAAUGGAGGAAACUCUGAUGCAGCGACGCCGCGUGAGUGACGAAGGCCUUCGGGUUGUAAAGCUCUGUUCUCAGGGAAAAAGAAAGUGAUUGUACCUGAGAAGAAAGGACCGGCUAACUUCGUGCCAGCAGCCGCGGUAAGACGAGGGGUCCAAGCGUUGUUCGGAAUUAUUGGGCGUAAAGCGGGUGUAGGUGGCUCUCUAAGUCAGAAGUGAAAGCCCCAGGCUUAACCUGGGAAGUGCUUUUGAUACUGGAGAGCUUGAAUGUGGGAGAGGAUCGUGGAAUUCCAGGUGUAGUGGUGAAAUACGUAGA